CCUACGGGUGGCAGCAGUGAGGAAUAUUGGUCAAUGGCCGGGAGGCUGAACCAGCCAAGUCGCGUGAGGGAAGACGGCCCUACGGGUUGUAAACCUCUUUUGUCAGGGAACAAAGGCGGGACGCGUCCCCGGAUGAGUGUACCUGAAGAAAAAGCAUCGGCUAACUCCGUGCCAGCAGCCGCGGUAAUACGGAGGAUGCGAGCGUUAUCCGGAUUUAUUGGGUUAAAGGGGUGCGCAGGCGGUCUGUUAGGUCAGCGGUCAAAGCCCGGGGCUCAACCCCGGCCUGCCGUUGAAACUGGCAGUCUCGAGUUGGAGAGAAGUAUGCGGAAUGCGCGGUGUAGCGGUGAAAUGCAUAGAUAUCGCGCAGAACUCCGAUGGCGAAGGCAGCAUGCCGGCUCCACACUGACGCUGAGGCACGAAAGCGUGGGUAUCGAACAGGAUUAGAUACCCUAGUAGUC
RNAcentral lists this ribosomal RNA (458 nucleotides) under uncultured bacterium. RNAcentral's name for it is "partial 16S ribosomal RNA". It matches the Rfam family "Bacterial small subunit ribosomal RNA", at positions 338 to 795 of the family's 1533-position model. The record is from RNAcentral.